RNAcentral lists this unclassified non-coding RNA (1591 nucleotides) under Hevea brasiliensis (rubber tree). The record is from RNAcentral. Lineage: Eukaryota; Viridiplantae; Streptophyta; Magnoliopsida; Malpighiales; Euphorbiaceae.
AGAAGAGCUAACUCAUCAAUCAAUAGGUUACAGAGUGAUAUUUCCAACAUUUUACGUUGAAACAAUCUGUUGAUUCUACAUAUCAAUGCAUCUAGACAACAAAAUUGGUUACAUAUAGGAAAACUUUACAAUGACAACAAAAUAUAAGUUUAUUUUCCUGGAGUCACCUUCCGCGUGGCGACUUAUGAUAGGCCUUUAAUGGAGACGCAGAGGGUGUCACGCUGAGUGAUGAACGGUGUUUAAAUGGAGAAGCUGGAACUGAGCUAGAAGUGGCUCGAUGCUCAAUCUGAGAUAUUUUGUUAACGCCUUUCGGUGCUUGAAGCUGUUCAAGAGCAGCCAAAACUUCAGACAUCCGCGGCCUUAGCUUAGGCUCGUUGCUUAGACACUGCCAAGCAAGGUUAGCAGCUGUAUAUGCUCCUUUCUGAGGAUACUGUCCCUCUAGUUUAGUGUCCAUGAUUCGGAACAACCUCCUCUUGUCCCCAAGAUAUGGCUUUGCCCAAUCCACAAGAUUCUGCUCUACGCCAACCUUCAUUUUAUCGAGAGCACGACGCCCUGAUAAAAGUUCAAGCAAUACAACCCCGAAGCUGUAUACAUCACUUUUUGAUGUCAAUCGACCUGUAGCAACAUAUUCUGGAGCAGCAUAGCCCUGAGUACCGAUGACUUGAGUGGACACAUGAGUGCGAUCACCAGUUGGGCCGGCCUUGGCUAAACCAAAAUCAGACAACUUUGCAUUAAAUUCCCCGUCUAAGAGAAUAUUAGAAGCCUUAAAAUCCCGAUAUAUAACUUGUUCUUUAGCAUCAUGUAGGAAAGCAAGGCCUCUAGCAGCACCAAUAGCCACCUUAAUUCUUGUUGCCCAAUUCAGAGGUUGAGGUCCUCUUCUAAACAAAUGGUUCUCCAAGCUUCCUUUAGGCAUGAACUCAUACACUAAAAGGUGGUUAUCACCGUCGAUGCAAUAGCCAAUGAGUUUAACCAAAUUUGGAUGACGAAGUUGGCCGAGGUAAUUAACUUCAGUCAGCCACUCCUUGUGACCUUGAAAACCCUCUGGCUUCAAUUUUUUGACAGCAAUCACUAUUCCAGAACCAGGCUUUGAUGCAGUAAGAGUUUGCGCAUCGAUCCAUCCUUUAAAAACACAACCAAAUCCUCCUUCCCCAAGAAGACUGUCAGGUCUGAAAUUCCUUGUUGCAUUUUUCAGUUCAUUGAAUGAGAAGGAUUUGACAUUAGGAGAAUAUAAUAUUUCGCUUUCAGAUCUCGGAGUAGGAAUGCUUUCGGAACUACUUUUCCUACCAUAGGAUGGAAUACUUAGGCUUGAUGGAACAGAAGAAUUGCUUUUUUUGUCAGGAAAUCUUGAAGCUUCAUAAGCAGAAGGGGUAGUAGAGCUCAAAGUAGCUUCAACUCUAGCAGGGGAACCAACACAAUUGCCCAUCAAGAUUUUUUUUUGAAAAAACCCCACAAAAGAUCAAUCUUUUACAAGUCAAAAUCAAGUCUUGGGAGCAAUAUUUCAGCAAAAAAAGCUCAAAUCUUGAACAACCCAAAUACAAGAUAUUUCUGUUUUUGGAGUUGUAAAAAAGUUUGGUGAGAAAAAACUGAAAAG